This is a long non-coding RNA of Homo sapiens (human), 1930 nucleotides long. Ensembl annotates it as NR2F2 antisense RNA 1. Its record names the gene NR2F2-AS1. The record is from Ensembl. NCBI's taxonomy places the organism in Eukaryota, Metazoa, Chordata, Mammalia, Primates, Hominidae.
CUUAAAGGGAAACGACUUUGGACUCACGUAGGCAUAGGAGAACGAAACUUCUGUACAUUUUAAUCUGAAUAAUUCUUCAGGAUUUAAAAUUAAUUGGCUCUGGCUUGGUUGGACCGUACUCGGAUCUCGCCACCUCUGCGUUUCCCGAGUCACUGGCGAAGAGGUCCCAGUUCCUCUGGGAAUCGUCCUGUAUGCAACAUCUUCACAAGAGUGGCAGGCAGUUGAAUCUCUGGCCUUCGUGGGACCACUGGACAUCUGGCAGAGAACCAGGAAACCACGGUUCCCUUCUGUGAGUCCCUCAGCCGGAAAACUACAAGCUCCUCAUGCAGCUGCUGUCUACAGACCCCCUGGACUGCCUGGGGAAGUGAGUCGGAGCUCCUGCAGCAGAGGGGUGGAACAGCUACACGAAGAUCCGAAGGUGGCCAAAAAUAACAGCGCUUUCCAGAUGAGGGAGCCAGUUGUCCAGCACAGUGUCAUGGGACAGUGGGCCCUGGUGCCACAAUGCCCGGCAUCUCCACCAGAUACAGCUUUGAGAUCUUCAUGAUGAAGCUUGCUCCAAUCCAAGGGCUGUCAGGUGGGGUUUGCGGUUCAGCUGCUAACCUUUCUUUGAUCCAAAUCCUGUCUUCACUGGCUUCAAGAAUCCUGUCUUCACUGGCUUCAAAACUGGGAUGAAGGAGGCUCCUUAGUGGAGAGCAAAGCAAAGAGAAACUCAAAUUGGAUCCAUAUUAAAGAAGAGAAGGAUGGAUUUGUUUAGACAACACAAACCUAGGAAGGGUUUGAGAGGUGAAACAAACUGGGUUAUGGAUGAACGGGGGCAAUUGGAAUGUAGAAUUGAAGCAGUAAUUAACAUCUUGGUAAGUUACCCACCAUAAAACGCUUUAGAGCAAGAUAGAUUUUUGUUUUUCUUUUUUUUUUCUUCUAUUUCUUCUUUUCUAUUUUUUUUCUAUCUUCUCAUGUAGGACACCCUUUUUUUUUCUCUAAUUUUGAGAUCCUCAUGGAUGAAAACAAAACAUAUAUUGAAAUAUUGCAUAGGAAGAACACAAAUAGCUUUGAUAAUGCACCAACUGCAAGUGGAUUCAUUGGCUCUGUGUCAGCUGGUGCAUGUAGGAAGCUGAAGAAUAUUUUCUUGCCAACGUUUUGGCAAGACUUAUUUUUUCCCGGGGGGUGGGCGCAAGGGUGCAAUCCAAUAAUAAUUAAAAAAAAGACUGUAUAACCAUUGUGUAGGAAGAGCUUCAGCCACCCUACAGCCGAGAGCGAGUUGGUCUUCCACAAGUCACUGGGGGAGAUGAAGGGUACACUGUAGUCAGGUGGAGUCUCUUUGGGCCUAAAAUCACUAUAGGACACUUUUCCAAAGUACCCUGGUGUCUUCAGUGAUCCUGAGUGCUGGCACUUGCACUUUGUCACUACAUCCAUCCCAGAGCUGCCCCAGUGGCUGGAGGCCUCUUGAAUAUCAGCAUCAUGCUCUCCCCCAACCUAGGGGAUUCGUUUUCCUCCCCUGCAGUAGACAUUUGCGUGAAGGUUAAUCCACAGUUAGGAGUUGCUUAACUCAAGCCUCAGAAAGCGUACACUGCAUCUUUAAGAAAUAGUUUACUUGUGAAUCAGUAAACGUACUAGACAAAGCAGCCAUUACUUAUGCAUUCCUGCAUAUCCAGCAAGGUGAAAAUAAUAGAAUAAACAUCAUAUACUUCAUUAUGAUAUCGGUUUACACUUCCAGGGUACACAAAAAGAGGCCAUUUCAUCAAGCUAAUUGCCUGAAAGUAAAAGAGAGAGAACUUUAGCUAUUAGUCUAUUAUGGGGCUUUUUUCUUAAUCACAAAUAGGGGCCGUGUGUCCCUGGGGGGAUGUGUAUUCUAAUUUACAAUUGAACUACAGAUCAGAGCAAUCAAUCUUGGGCAGCACUUUUACAGUGUAAUUGCUGCAACAUAACAAAU